UGUUGCCUUUGAUGCCUCUUGUUUUUUAGGAAAAUUAAUUUGAGAACGUAAAUAGAAAAUUAAUACUAUUAAUUUCAACUAUGUGAACAAUUCGACCCGUAUACCACAGUGGAUUUUAUAAAACUUUCGGUCAUAAAUGAAUUGGAGAAUUUCAUCGUAAAAGUGGUAUAAGAAAAUACCUCCAAAACUGAUUGUUAAAACUUCGAAAAUAUAAUCAUGCUAUGUAUAUGUAAUGACAAAAUCAAAGUAAUGAAAUUCUUGAUCAACAAAUAGUAAAAUGUAAAUAAUUCAUGCUUAAAAAUGUUUAGUCCUUUAUUAUAGUUCCCGCUGCAUAUGUUAUAUUGCAAAUUAAAGGAUAAAUUAAAAAAAUGUUAAAUUUUAGUAGAAAAAGUGGGCCUGUUUUGGUAAAAUGUAACAAUUUCCUAUGGGCAAACCUAAAACUUUAGCGAAGGGUAAAAACUAGCGGGCCCAUUGUUAGCAAUACACCCUAUCUCUGGAAACUAUCAUGGUUGAAAGCAUUCAUAACUUUUGCUUAUUGAAAUGUGGCCAGUUCGCAAUUGCCUGUCGCUUUUCAAAAUCAACUAAACAUUUUUUCAAUGUUUCUAAAUGAUUAUUUAAAAAGUGCUCUGUUAGCGAAUGAAAACGUUAAUCAUACGAUAAUAUUCUUAUUAAGCUGUCACUUAAAAUUUGGAUUUCGAAUAUUAUGAACGCUCUUAAUUCCUGAUGAAUUUGUUACGAGCUGAGUGCCCUGCCUUCUUAACAUAUCUUUCACUGUUACCUAAUUAAUUGAAACCGAUAGCAAGAGUCGGUUUACCAUUUCGUUGUCACUUAUUUAAUCUUUAACAAUACUCGUGGGAAGGGGGGGGGGGCCCUUUAUAUAUUUUUGGAAAUAUUAAUUUAAGAGUAAGGCCGCCGAUCUUUUAUAUAUUCCAAAGGUGGACAGAGAGUGCGAAAAGUGACAGUGAACUAGGAUAUUGUAAAUAGUUUAAGUAAUACGAGACUGCAGUUCCUGUGGUGUUGUAGUUUCUGUUCAUGGGUGGCGGUAGUUACUAUCAGGUGAGCCGCGUUUUUAUUUGCCUCACUGUAUUAUAAAAAAAGGUUUAAAAAUACUAAGGCGAAAAAGAUAUUAUAUCACAUUUUUUUAGGCAACUAGAGUAGCAAUCAAGCAUAAUGUACUGCUGACCUGAUGGUAAAUGAACAGGUCUUAUUUCACACUCUCUAACAAUCUAAUAACUGAUUUCUCUCGGGACGGCUUUUUAGUAAUGGGGACUAUCGGCUCUAUUGCUAGAAAUAAAACGCUCCCGUAAUGCACCUGGUAUUGCAGUCGUUCAUAGGCUACGGUAAUCGUUUACUAUCAGGUACGCCGUAUGCUUGUUUGCCACCUCAGUGAUAUAAAAAAAGAACCAGAGAGAUAAAAAUUUGAAUACAACUAGAUGGAGACUUUGUACAAAAGUCGAUUGAGUACCUCUCAUCUCUCACUGAUACGUUAGUGUAGGUGGAGUUACCAUUCAAUUGUCACCGAUUGAAAAAAAUAGUCCCCAUACGACUAUUGAUAUACUGGUUAUCUGUCCGAGUAGGGUAUUAUUAAGAGUUCAUUAUCCUUGCUUGGACGAAAAAAGUGCAUAUAAAAAUAUAUCAAGGCAGUUUAUUAAUUAUCCCAAGUAUAGUAGAAUAUAAAAUUAAUUCAUUGGUUAGUGGUUUUAAUCCGAAGUCUCUCGUGGAAUUACUGUCGUUUUUUACAUAACCGUGUUCUGCAUUGCUAAGGAUGACACUUAGACUGUUAUUCUAUGUAAAAUAAAAUCUUUUAGAUUCAUAUAUUUAAUAGACAUGAAGAAAACCUUUAUUUGUUAUAAAUCGAUUGCUUGGGUACCUCUGUCCCAUUCGUGUUUUUUUUUUAUGGGUGAAAAUGGUAUUAUAACCCCGCCUCCGCUAACGGGAUACGCUGGCGGAGCACCAGUGAAGGGUGAUAGAUAAGAAUGAAAACGGGCCAGUUAGCCCAUCAUGAUGAAUUCAUCAGGAUUAGUUUCCAGGGAGAACCGGGAGGAGGUCGACCUGGUUGGGUAUAUUGCUAGCAAUGUGAUUCUCAGUCUCCAUUACUAACAAUCCCUUUCCCCCUCCCAUUCGUGUUUCAACCAUAAAGCAGUUGUAUUUGCAUGGCUGUGUUUUGGUUUGAAAGGUGGGAUAUGGCGUGAAUUUACAGGGUACAGAGGAAUAACACCUGAGUCCUCAGGAAUGGCAACGCAUGGGAGAUAUCAUGGGCGAAACAGUAACUCUGUUAUGUCCAUGGUAUUGCUCAUGUCUAUAGGCGACGGUUACCACUUUCCAUCAGAUGGGCCGUCAGCAUGUUUGCCAUUCUAAGUAGUUAAAAAAAAACUAUUAUUUUUAUAGAUUUGAUGAAACCUGAUUGAUUUAUUUAUUUAGAAGAUAUUCAAUCAGAUACGCAAAAACAUAAAAAUAGGACAAUGCUUUGCCAACCCUAAAUAGUUCUAAAUAUUUCGCCUGGCUCGAGGAGCAGGCGGAGGGCUGUGGAAUUUGCUUUCAGUAACAGUUUUGUUUUGCUCCCCAGUUUGAUUCAAUAGUUUUCCGCUGUUUCAUCUGAGUUCAACGUUCUCGCAACCUAACUUCAACAAAACUGCUCAGUGCAUUAUGAGGGAAUAAUAAAUAUGAUAACUACCUUAAUAUUUUUAAAUGUUUUAAAUAGGCGGGUUUGCUACCACAGCAUUUGGUGAUGUUUUAAGAGGGAUGCUGCUGCCCAUCCUGCCCAUUCUAUGCCAAGACCAAAUGAUAACGGCAUGGAAGAGUGGGAUAUGUCAAUGAAACCUUUACAGCCUUACAUACCUUAGUACGAAAUAACCAGCCAAAAUACGGGCAGAUGUCGCUCAACUGUCACGUGACCGCUGACUGGCUGGUUUGUAGCAUUCAUAAUAUGAAUUAGCAAGGCAGUUCAAUUUACGCCGUAAUCUGCCUGGAAAUAAGAGUUCAUAAUACGGCCCCAGGAAUGGCUACGCAUGAAGUGUAUCACGGGUGACACAGUAUACUCCGUUAUGUUCAUGGCACUAUUUAUGUUUUUUGUUGAAGAUCAAUCCAUCAGGCGGCCUGUAAGCUUGUUUGUCAUUCUAAGUUGCAUAACAAAAGAUUAUUCAAUAUUAGUCAGUUUUGAUGAAAGUUAAUAAUAAUGUUUUAUUUUUGACCUAUCCACAAUGGGAGACAAGUAUCUAAAUAUUUAUAGGUAUCUGAGUUGCUGAACAUAUUUUGAAUAUUUUUUUAUAACUGAAACCUAACGCAUAUUUUACAUAAUAUCUUAGUCCUUUAGGUAAUCGUAGGUUACAAUAGAUGCCGAAGUGUAUUCUAGUUGUCUAUGAUUACAGAUAAUCUAUAGUGUUUUCAACUUUUUUUGGCGACGAUUUAUAAAUAAAUGAGAUCAAAUUAAUCUGUUUGUCAUGUCAUGUUGUAUAAAAAUGAUUCAUGUUGACAUCGCUGAUUCUAAAAAGGUGCCAUUCUUAGUAAUUUUAGAGUUGCGACCUUAAAAUCUAAAAAAUGACUUAUUGUCGCAACGUAGCUAUAUUACGUGAGUAGGUACUUACUGUUCAACGUCUUGUAAAUUGGCAAUAAUGCUUAUUACCUAGUUAGAUAGGUGAGUACCUAGUGACAUACGCAGAACAUUGUAUUCUCAGCCGUAGAUAUGUCAAACAUCGCCAAAACUUUUCAAACAAUAGUUACAUAUGAAAAUUAUCAUAUACAUUCAUCAAACUACAGUCUAAACUAGUUGAAAGAUGUUCCCUUUGAUUUCUGUACCUGUUUCUAUGUCUACUUUUAUUUUAGUUUUUGGUUACUUUGGUAAUAUGCCCAAUCUUAUCUUACUAAUAUAAUUGUCAGUAGACGAUGUCUGCACAUAGGAAGUGUAAAAACAAUAAUUUAUAAAAAUUUUGUCUGAUCCGGCUUCAUGUGAAAACUACUACAUCAAAUUAGAUACAAACUGCCUCUUAAUUGUGUUCUUGAAGGUCUAACUUAUAUCUGGUAGUCUGGUAGAUAUGUUCCAAUUUCAUACGCCGUUUAGAAGUGGCCUUUGAUAAUUUAUGUAACUUUUUUGUUGUUGGCAGUAAAUGUUUUAUUUCUUUCUUCUUUUCUUUAAUAAAAUAGGCCACUUCAAAAUUUCAGAAUUAGGGUUAGCCUAUUUUUGACAUCUACGCCUACAAAGAAGCGAGCAAAUGUCUUGUUUUUUAGUCUUAAAGUCGAUCCUACUAAAAUUAUGAAUAUGAAAGGUAUAUUAAAUUUAUAUAAUAUUAAAUGUUUUGAUGUAUUCCGUAUGAAUUCUGUACAAUAAAUAUUUUACAAUACAAUACAAUGAAAAUUAGUAAAGAUAUUUGUUAUUCAAUCACACAUGACUGAAUGGGUUGCUAUAAAAUUUGACACACAGACAGACCCUCAGAUAUCUGUUCUUUGUAUAUAUAGGCUACUUUUUAUCCAGCAUUACACUUCAGCUAUCUACUUAUUGCUAUUAGUUUCGGAUCGAAUUCCAGAUAAUAUUAUAUUCUGUAUCAAUAAUUCUAUUUAGGCUUAUAAGCCAAAAAUAGGAAAAUGAAAAAUUUAAAUGGAUUACCAUUUACUCUCUACCCAUAUAAUUGUAUUUGUACAGUACCAUUUUUAGGAAUAUACGAUACAGCCUUUCCUAUUUUUUUUUUUGGAAUUACAAGGUAAGUAAGUAACGAUGAUAUUGUUAGUGAAUUAUACCUUUUAGGUACACAUUAAUAUAGUUAUUGCGUGUCAAAUUUUGGCUCUACAAUAGGCUUCACAGGGCCUAACUCUUUUAAUAUUCGAUUCGGAUUUCAUACAUAAAAUUUAUAUCGAAAAAAGUAUAAAUGCUAUGUUAUUCUAUAUAUUUAUUAAGAACUCUUGCUGUAUUAUAUGAAUAGAAGUAUAUUUAAAUUUAAAUCAUUUCAAUUCAAAUAGACUUGUUUACUUGUAGCAUUCUUAAACCGUCAUUAGUUUUAUUUAUAGGAAAUAUAGCGGUAGCAAACUGCCUGGUUUGUUACAGAUAAAAAACUUUUGCAAUGUCAAGACAAGUAUUAUAAUAGUGCAGCACUUAAUUUUCAUACAAAUUAUGAUACUUACGCCAUCUAUCUCUAUGUAUGGGUAUGGAACUAAGAGUAAUUAAUCGAAUGAAUGAAUAGGUGGUAGCUAGUAUGGCAGGACGCGUAGACACGAAUUGCUGUCAUGGCGAACAUAACGAGCUACUUUCAUUACGAUAAUAUCAGCAAUAGCAUGAAAUGAAUGCUUUCAUACAAAUGAUAGGGACAAUUUACUUGUCUGUCAGUAAUUAAAAAAACAUAACGAAAACGGCAUUUGUUAUGAGGAAUGAGUAGGCGUAGGUAUCUAGGUAAUUGUUUUAAAUUCUUAUCUGAUUGUCCAGUGCUAGUAAUGUAGUAUGCCAUUUAUGUCAUAUCAUACAAAAUAAGUGAUUAAUUCUUAAUGAAUUCGUCACGAUGGGCCAACUGGACUGAUUUUAUCUUCGCUUAUUAUCCCUCACUGUUAAAAAAAAUUAAAAAUGUAUUUAUUGGAACCAUAAAAAAUUACAAAAGUAGGGUAGUUUACGAUAACAGCCACAUUAGUUAAAAAUAACUGUGUCGUGGCUGUCAACGCCCACCUCCUCAAGGCAGAGGCGCUAGUGUUCCAGUAGAAUAAAUAAAACUGUUAAUUAAACAAAGAAAAUGCAUGUACAUGUAGCACAUAUAUAUGUACCCAACAUACAAAUAAAUCCCUUUCCUUUCGAUCCCUCAUUGAUACCCUACUAGCGUACAUUAAUUUCGCAAGCGGGGUAAUCAUUCCAUUUUCAUCCCCUUAAAAUUAUUUUUAAGGAAAUUAAUGUUUGUAUUGUUCGAGGAUUGAACCCACAAUGAUCGUACGUUAAAGAAGUUAUGCCGUCAAAGUCGUCAAAAUUUCAUAGUAAGCACAGAUAAUUAGUUACUGACCAUGUAAAAAUCCCUACGUAAUCAUGAAUAAGAUGAAGAGAACGGACGUUUCCUGAAAAUGUUGUGUGCAAUUAUAAUUAUCAAUACAACGGAGAUUAAUUUAUCUUCCUUGUUUAGGUAUUUAGAAGAUUAUUUUAUCUUUUAAAUAUAUAGACAACUUUAUAUAUUUAAUCGUAAAUAUAAUUGUUAUUUUACGCCUCGCUUCCUAAAUUCGACGACAGUUCCUUCCUAUAAAAAUUACGUUUUUAUCAUUAUUGAGCUUUCAUUCCGCUCGCCGAAUAAAUCAAUUCAAUUUCAUAACUCAUAAAUUUUUUCAUAUAUAGGUAAAUUAUAGACUUGUUGGAGAUGUUGAAAUGUUAAUUUAAAACCAAUCUGAUUAUUCUGAUUAGGGAUAUUAAUGUGACUAUGUGUUAUGAAUGCGUGAAAGAAAGUCGUUAUUUUUUAAGUCGGGCUAAUUACGUACCAGAUAAAUUCCGUUAAAUUAUGCUGUAACUAAAAGACUGCAUUGCUUGUUCUUCAACCGACUUUAAAAAUAAGGCGGUUCCCAAUUUGGUUGUAUUUUUUCUGUUUGUUACCUCAAUUCCGCCAGUUAACCGAUUUGGAAAGUUAUUUUUUUUCUGAGAGAGCAGAUUAGUCCCAUAAAAAAAAUAUUAAAAGCAGUUAAGUAGUUUAGUUUUUAAGUCAAAAUAACUGGUUUUGCCAUAAUUGAAGUGGGUUUUAUUGUGAAACACAAUUUUAAGUUAUUGGCAUAAGCGCAUUUAAUUAGUGCCCACCCUGUUGUGGGUCCUGAUCUUGAAACCAGAAACGAAAUUUUCUGUUGUGGGGAAAGAUAUGCCAAGGAGUACAAAUGCGCUUUAAACGGAUCAGGACUCCCAUGAAAAUAAUUUUCAAUACACUAGCUUCUCUUGUUGAAAAAAAAAAACGCAAAAAUUAGGAUUAUUUUAGUAAUUAAUUUGUCCCAUAUUAAUUUAGUCACUAUUGAGAGUUAACUAAAAGAUACCCAGUACCUACACAGACAAUAUGAUUCUAGUGUUAUGUUGAGUUUAGGUUUCCUAAAGGAUUCAAGUACUUAGCUCUACAAUCUGCAAGUAAACCUGGUAGUGUUAUUAUCAGUGCAUUACAAAGACACCUUUAUAGCUGUAGCAUCUCACGCUUAGAUCUAACGAUAUUAGAUUGAACAAUAUUUUUUUGUUAUAAAAACCAUUUAUUAUAUUUUGAUAAUGAAAAUGACCCUUUAAUAAAGUUUAUACUUAUUUUUA
This is a long non-coding RNA of Galleria mellonella (greater wax moth), 7228 nucleotides long. RefSeq lists it as uncharacterized. The transcript is spliced from 2 exons. Lineage: Eukaryota; Metazoa; Arthropoda; Insecta; Lepidoptera; Pyralidae. The record is from RefSeq and is a predicted model, not a curated record.